Molecule: ribosomal RNA, 263 nt
Filed under: uncultured bacterium
Lineage: Bacteria
Description: partial 16S ribosomal RNA
Rfam family: Bacterial small subunit ribosomal RNA
Source: RNAcentral
GCAAGUCGCACGAGAAAGUCUACCUUCGGGUGGAUAAGUAAAGUGGCGCACGGGUGAGUAACACGUGGGUUAUCUACCUUUAAGCUUGGGAUAACACUGCGAAAGCGGUGCUAAUACCGAAUAUGCUCACGGUUUUAUUUCUGUGAGAAAAGGUGGCCUCUGUUUCAUGCUAUCACUUAAAGAUGAGCCCGCGCACCAUUAGCUUGUUGGUGGGGUAAAGGCCUACCAAGGCGACGAUGGUUAGCUGGCCUGAGAGGGCGGCC